UACGAAGGGGGCUAGCGUUGCUCGGAAUCACUGGGCGUAAAGGGUGCGUAGGCGGGUCUUUAAGUCAGGGGUGAAAUCCUGGAGCUCAACUCCAGAACUGCCUUUGAUACUGAAGAUCUUGAGUUCGGGAGAGGUGAGUGGAACUGCGAGUGUAGAGGUGAAAUUCGUAGAUAUUCGCAAGAACACCAGUGGCGAAGGCGGCCAACUGGACCAUUACUGACGCUGAGGCGCGAAAGCGUGGGGAGCAAACAGG
Molecule: ribosomal RNA, 253 nt
Filed under: uncultured bacterium
Lineage: Bacteria
Description: partial 16S ribosomal RNA
Rfam family: Bacterial small subunit ribosomal RNA
Source: RNAcentral